This 480-nucleotide ribosomal RNA is filed under the name uncultured bacterium. RNAcentral describes it as "bacterial SSU rRNA". It matches the Rfam family "Bacterial small subunit ribosomal RNA", at positions 28 to 523 of the family's 1533-position model. The record is from RNAcentral.
GAUGAACGCUAGCGGCAGGCCUAAUACAUGCAAGUCGAGGGGCAGCAUAGUAGCAAUACUGAUGGCGACCGGCGCACGGGUGCGUAACGCGUAUGCAACCUACCCAUUACUGAGGGAUAGCCCGGAGAAAUUCGGAUUAAUACCUCAUGGUAUCAAAGACAGGCAUUUGUUUUUGAUUAAAGAUUUAUCGGUAAUGGAUGGGCAUGCGUCAGAUUAGCUAGUUGGCGGGGUAACGGCCCACCAAGGCGAUGAUCUGUAGGGGGUCUGAGAGGAUGAUCCCCCACACUGGUACUGAGCUACGGACCAGACUCCUACGGGAGGCAGCAGUAGGGAAUAUUGGUCAAUGGGCGAGAGCCUGAACCAGCCAUGCCGCGUGCAGGAAGAAGGCCCUCUGGGUUGUAAACUGCUUUUGACCAGGGAUGAUAAUGACAGUACCUGGAGAAUAAGCUCCGGCUAACUCCGUGCCAGCAGCCGCGGUAA